RNAcentral lists this ribosomal RNA (253 nucleotides) under uncultured bacterium. Its description in RNAcentral is "partial 16S ribosomal RNA". It matches the Rfam family "Bacterial small subunit ribosomal RNA", at positions 524 to 776 of the family's 1533-position model. The record is from RNAcentral.
UACGUAGGUGGCAAGCGUUGUCCGGAUUUAUUGGGUUUAAAGGGUGCGUAGGCGGCCCUGUAAGUCAGUGGUGAAAUACUCUAGCUUAACUAGAGGGGUGCCAAUGAUACUGCAGGGCUUGAGUACAGGUGAGGUAGGCGGAAUUGACGGUGUAGCGGUGAAAUGCAUAGAUAUCGUCAAGAACACCGAUAGCGAAGGCAGCUUACUGGGCUGUAACUGACGCUGAUGCACGAAAGUGUGGGGAUCAAACAGG